This 3605-nucleotide long non-coding RNA is filed under the name Oreochromis niloticus (Nile tilapia). Its description in RNAcentral is "lncRNA (ENSONIG00000029469.1)". Lineage: Eukaryota; Metazoa; Chordata; Actinopteri; Cichliformes; Cichlidae. The record is from RNAcentral.
AUGUGCUCGACAGCAGGGUUCAUCUUGGAUUCAGAGAGAAGAAAACAAAAGCGACAGCAAAUGUCUCUCCGUUCUCCAUUUACGAGCUGUUCAUAUAGACAUUCAUGGCCCACAGAGGAGGAAUGGCGAUCACCUGACAUUUCUUUUAACACCAGCAGGAGCAUCUUUAAGGAAAAAGUCUUCAAAGCAAUUGGAUAUACUGCAAUAAUAUCUGCUACGCGCUCGUGUUCCCUAAAGCGGGAUAGAAAUACUCUAGUAAUCCUUUCACGUGUGUCUGUGCCAAUAUCCAGUCAAAAUUUCAAUUAAUCCAGUACUUUGGGUUACAACUUAAUAACUGCUAAAGUGGUGACGUUCUUAAUCAGCCUCAGCUGAACUUUGCAACACUAAAAGUGAGAGGGUGAAUAAGCAGGACACCUACUUGGCAUCUGCCUGGUCAUUAUAAGCGUGUCAGCGUGUUAGUAGGUGUUUUGAAUUGUGAUUUGACCGCAUUCUGACGCAUUUGAUCAAGUAAAUAUAUUAAAUGAAUAAAAGCAUGAUUACAGUGCUGUGCAAAGGUGUUGAGCUACCCCUGAUUUCGUUAUAUUUUGCUUCCAAGGAGCCAGACUUUCCUGUAAUAUUUUAAAGUGGUCUUGAGCCACAGUUCUCCAGGUUUGCGAAGGUCAUUCCAAGCUUUUCUUUGGACACUGACUGCUUUUUAACUCAUUUUCAGUCCAGUCCUUGUACCGGACUACUUUCCAAGGAAGCUUUUGUUUGUUUGUCUGUUUGUUUGUUUCUUAAGCCACUCAACACUGACCUGAUCUAUAAAUCAUUCAAGCUCUUAAAGCAAAAAGCCACUUAACUUGUGAACCAGUGUUGUGUCUGCACAUAACAGACAAUUUGGCCAAGAACCAAUUUUAAAUUGUAUCUUUUGACCUUUAUUACUGGCAGCUUUUUGCACAAACACAUAAUUAGUUUAGCUGAAUCUGUGAAAAACAGUUUGACCGACAUAAAAAGAUAUUUUUGCACCAACAAGGUGAUUCUUAAGGAGCUAUUAGAUGAAAUGUUGGUAUAUUGUGACAUGGUGUGUAGCGUGGCCUUAAAAAUUUUGAGGAAACUAGACAAGUGGAGACAAAAGAAGAGGCAGCAGACCUAAAAAAACCCUACAGCAGACGAGGAGUAUCUGUACGACUGUUGAUGGAACAGUCUCAGUAGAAGGGUAGGUGUCAUUUAGGCAUUCUUAAGGAAGACGAAGGGGCUGAGGUGUGCUAAAUUAUACAAGAACUGGACUGAAAAUCAGAUGGAACAUGUUGUAGGAGGUCGAAAGAGAGGUACAACAGCGAGUGUCAUCUGAUAUUGAGCCCAAACACACUAAAAAAGCAGUAAAAGCAUACCUGGAUAACCAGCUGAUAAACAGCUGCACUGAAAUAAAUAAUGUGAGGUUCAAGAUUUUUACACAUUACUACCAAUCAGCGAUGAAAAAACCCCUUAGACAUGGGCGUUCUCCAUUUUGAAAUGUGUGUGCAUGAGCUGCUGUGAUAUGAAAGUACAUUCAGGCUAUUUAUGGAAGCACUAAUCACAGCCACCUAUACACAUUAACACAAUGACCUCAUUCCUUGAAAAUGCCAGUAUCUCAUAGGUAGCUGUAGGAAGGGUGAAAACACACUUAAAUGGGUCCUCCAUGAUCUGAGUGAACAUGAAAGCUAAGCUCAAUACACUCCUUGUUGCACAGACGACUUUUUGUUUAUGUAAAGGCAUGUGGACAGACAGUCAUCUUUCACAUAUUGUAGUGAAUAUAACAUUUUUGUCUUUUGAAAUCUAUAUAUACUAUUGUAAAAGAUUAAUUUUGAUCAUUCCUAGGACAAAUCUAUGGAUAAUGUUUUGCUGGGCUAACAAACCUCUACAACAAUAAUAUGGUAUAUGCAUCACCAUCCUCACGAACUGUUGGCCCUAUGUGUGGCAGUCCACAAAGUUGUACACAGGUGGCAUCUGUCCAUGACCACCUGAUUGGUCGUUAAAGCAUCAGGCAUCCAAGAUGGCAACUCUGUGGCAACUGCUGCUGUUGAGGAUGCGCACACAUUAACUGCACAAAUAUAAAUUUACUCAGACAAUUAGGGUGUAUAAUCACUGGAAGCCUGUGUUAUUGUUUCACAGAGAUUUAUGAGCUGUCAACACGCCACAGGAUGUAAUAAAAAAAAAUAAUUUCAGAAACCAUAAGACGUGUCUUUAAAUGUCUGCUUAAUUUCCUUUCCAAUUAGACUCAGUCUCCCCCCCACCUGUAGUCUGAGAAUCGAUUUCAUCACAGCCAUUAGGGGGCAGCAUUGAUUGAAUAAAUGCAAGGAAAUGAAAGGGAACUCUCCUCUCCUUUCUCCCUCAAACACACACACACAUAUGCGCGCACAAAGGGGGCACAGACAUGGACAUGAUCAAUUAUGUGUCAAGCAUUUCUUCCUCAGUGAAUGAAUGGCCCAGUGACUAUAGGCUACCGACCGUCUAUUGUCUAUUGACACUGGAGACUAAGUUCUCAUGCAGUUCAUUAUCCCAAAAGAGGACGACUAGAAAGAGAUCCAAAGAGACCAUUAAUCAUCAUUCCCUUCAGAGAAGAAAAAGAAGGGGGCCAAAAGAACAGAUACUGUAAUCCUGUGUAUAUAGAAUAAAACCAAUAUAUUUACAGCGGUACAGCUAGAAAUAGCAGAAAUAACAGACUAGUCGUAGGGAAAAUGUUACAAAUGCAAUCCUUCAUAACCAAAAUGAUAAAUGUGGCGCUCCAGGGGAAUUUCUUGAUGGACCAAUUAGUAAUUAGUUAUCUACUGGGAACAACAAGCCCUGGACUUAAAGGGGCCAAAGUUUUGCUCUUGUAAGCACUUUCACACACACACACACACACACACACACACACUCGUUUUCCUCACCGAAGCUUUCAGUAUGACGAAUAACUCCAAAGUCCAUUUCAAUUUGGGUCGAUGGCUCGGGCCGAGGUGGUGGUGGAGGUGGUGGUGAGAGGGGAGGUGGAGAUGUGGGGUCAACCCAAUAACAGCACCCCCCCGCCCCGAGUUUUCGCUCCCUCCUUCUACCUAAGAUCUACCCAUCCACGUCCCUAUAAAUGCCUUCGCUUCCUGCUUCCAAGUUCGGACAGAGCGCUGUGAUUGGCCGCUGCUGGCACAGUGGGCUGUUCCUCAUGCGCUCUCCUCAGCUCGGGUUACAGUUGAGCUCGGGCUGCCGCACACACCGGAGGGCACAGUGUUACAGACGGUUAGGAAAAAAAAACACAACAUACCGGCGUGGAAAUGUUGGUGAGCUGAUUUAGGAGCCACGUCGAGAAGCAGGGGAGCAGGUCUAAUCUUACCUCGGCACUUUUUUGUGUGUGUUUCAUGAAGCAAUAAACUAGCGGGGAGACCGGACUGUAUUUUUACGCACCGGCCACGCAGCAUGCCCGAGUUGGACUAGAAGCGACCCUGCCGGAGCGCAACACGCACGCGUAACGCCACUGAGAGCCAGGAGGAAUAUUUACAAUAGAAACUCAAUUCCUUUUUUCUUUUUUUUGGGAGGAAGAAUAGCAAAAGCAGGGGGCGGAGGAGUGAAAGAUAACACUGGAAUGAAGUGGACCUCGGGAUUCCUGGCGUGCUGCG